Molecule: ribosomal RNA, 738 nt
Filed under: uncultured eukaryote
Lineage: Eukaryota
Description: partial 18S ribosomal RNA
Rfam family: Eukaryotic small subunit ribosomal RNA (bases 267-716)
Source: RNAcentral
AUGUCAUUGGAAAAUUUAGAGAAAUAAGAAGAAGGGGUUUCUGGGAAAACAUUGCCAAAAAGGUUCAGUCAUGUCUCACGAGAGUCACAGAGUGGGGAAGGUGUGGUCCAGUAGGAAUCGAACCUCAAUUCUGCCACCGGGAGAGCCGGCGAUCCUAACAUUUUACAAAGUUCGGCGCCGGGCGAUGUUAUCAAAGUCUUUGGGGUCUAGCUGGAAUUUGGUGGCUCCUCUGAAGCUUAAAGGCACCAGACUUAGGGUCCAACAGGCCAAAAGCCUUGAUUUGAAUGUUACUCAACACAGUGACACUCACCAGGUCCAGCCAACUUUAGGAUUGACAGUUUGAGCCUCUUUCUUGAUUAAUAGGGGGGUGGUGCAUGGCCGUUGAUAGUCAGUGGAGCUAGCCGUGUUUCAGGCUCCCUAUCGAGCAUAACCCCAUCCUUCCACAUAGCCAGGGUAGCUUUGGGUGGUCGCCGGCUUCUUAGAGGGACUAUCGGAGGGCACCGAUUUAAGUUCGAGGCAACGGCACAAGGCCAUGCCCUUAGAUGUUUUGGGCCGAAUCACCAAGGAGCCCCGACGGUCAUCAAGUUUUUAACCUUGAACGAGAACCCUUGGGUAAUCUGAGCAACUUGGCUCGUAUUGGGGAUAGAAUAUUCACGGUUAUAAUCUUUAACGAGGCAUUCUAAUAUAACGCAAGUCAUCAACUUGCAGCCAUUACGUAGCCUCCCCGUAUACACUCCG